Molecule: ribosomal RNA, 515 nt
Filed under: uncultured bacterium
Lineage: Bacteria
Description: partial 16S ribosomal RNA
Rfam family: Bacterial small subunit ribosomal RNA
Source: RNAcentral
GAUGAACGCUGGCGGCGUGCCUAAUACAUGCAAGUCGAGCGAAUGGAUUGAGAGCUUGCUCUUAUGAAGUUAGCGGCGGACGGGUGAGUAACACGUGGGUAACCUGCCCAUAAGACUGGGAUAACUCCGGGAAACCGGGGCUAAUACCGGAUAACAUUUUGAACCGCAUGGUUCGAAAUUGAAAGGCGGCUUCGGCUGUCACUUAUGGAUGGACCCGCGCCGCAUUAGCUAGUUGGUGAGGUAACGGCUCACCAAGGCAACGAUGCGUAGCCGACCUGAGAGUGUGAUCGGCCACACUGGGACUGAGACACGGCCCAGACUCCUACGGGAGGCAGCAGUAGGGAAUCUUCCGCAAUGGACGAAAGUCUGACGGAGCAACGCCGCGUGAGUGAUGAAGGCUUUCGGGUCGUAAAACUCUGUUGUUAGGGAAGAACAAGUGCUAGUUGAAUGAGCUGGCACCUUGACGGUACCUAACCAGAAAGCCACGGCUAACUACGUGCCAGCCGCCGCAGUAA